This 411-nucleotide ribosomal RNA is filed under the name uncultured bacterium. Its description in RNAcentral is "bacterial SSU rRNA". It matches the Rfam family "Bacterial small subunit ribosomal RNA", at positions 64 to 507 of the family's 1533-position model. The record is from RNAcentral.
GAACGAGAAAGUGGAGCAAUCCAUGAGUACAGUGGCGACCGGUGUGAGUAACACGUGACUACCUACCCUUGAGUGGGGAAUAACUCCGGGAAACCGGGGCUAAUACCGCAUAAUAUCGAGAGAUCAAAGGAGCAAUCCGCUCUUGGAGGGGGUCGCGGCUGAUUAGCUAGUUGGCGGGGUAAUGGCCCACCAAGGCGAAGAUCGGUAUCCGGCCUGAGAGGGCGCACGGACACACUGGAACUGAAACACGGUCCAGACUCCUACGGGAGGCAGCAGUGGGGAAUUUUGCGCAAUGGGGGAAACCCUGACGCAGCAACGCCGCGUGGAGGAUGAAGUCCCUUGGGACGUAAACUCCUUUCGACCCGGACGAUGAUGACGGUACGGGUGGAAGAAGCACCGGCUAACUCUGUG